Molecule: transfer RNA, 73 nt
Filed under: Lactobacillaceae bacterium
Lineage: Bacteria; Bacillati; Bacillota; Bacilli; Lactobacillales; Lactobacillaceae
Description: tRNA-Arg
Rfam family: tRNA
About the family: Transfer RNA (tRNA) molecules are approximately 80 nucleotides in length. Their secondary structure includes four short double-helical elements and three loops (D, anti-codon, and T loops). Further hydrogen bonds mediate the characteristic L-shaped molecular structure. tRNAs have two regions of fundamental functional importance: the anti-codon, which is responsible for specific mRNA codon recognition, and the 3' end, to which the tRNAs corresponding amino acid is attached (by aminoacyl-tRNA synthetases). tRNAs cope with the degeneracy of the genetic code in two manners: having more than one tRNA (with a specific anti-codon) for a particular amino acid; and 'wobble' base-pairing, i.e. permitting non-standard base-pairing at the 3rd anti-codon position.
Source: RNAcentral
GCGUUCUUAGUGUAAUGGAUCAUCACGUAAGAUUCCGGUUCUUGAGAUAUGGGUUCGAUUCCCAUAGAACGCA